UGAUCACUGAAAGUUUCUC
RNAcentral lists this unclassified non-coding RNA (19 nucleotides) under Mus musculus (house mouse). Its description in RNAcentral is "oocyte_clustered_small_RNA12649". Lineage: Eukaryota; Metazoa; Chordata; Mammalia; Rodentia; Muridae. The record is from RNAcentral.